CAGUAGCCGCGGGAAUACAGAGGGUGCGAGCGUCAAUCGGAUUUACUGGGCGUAAAGCGUGCGUAGGCGGCUUCUUAAGUCGGAUGUGAAAUCCCUGAGCUUAACUUAGGAAUUGCAUUCGAUACUGGGAAGCUAGAGUAUGGGAGAGGAUGGUAGAAUUCCAGGUGUAGCGGUGAAAUGCGUAGAGAUCUGGAGGAAUACCGAUGGCGAAGGCAGCCAUCUGGCCUAAUACUGACGCUGAGGUACGAAAGCAUGGGGAGCAAACAGGAUUAGAUACCCCGGUAGUCCCUGUCUCUUAUAC
RNAcentral lists this ribosomal RNA (301 nucleotides) under uncultured bacterium. RNAcentral describes it as "partial 16S ribosomal RNA". It matches the Rfam family "Bacterial small subunit ribosomal RNA", at positions 509 to 807 of the family's 1533-position model. The record is from RNAcentral.